This 301-nucleotide ribosomal RNA is filed under the name uncultured bacterium. RNAcentral's name for it is "partial 16S ribosomal RNA". It matches the Rfam family "Bacterial small subunit ribosomal RNA", at positions 509 to 807 of the family's 1533-position model. The record is from RNAcentral.
CAGUAGCCGCGGGAAUACGUAGGGUGCGAGCGUUAAUCGGAAUUACUGGGCGUAAAGCGUGCGCAGGCGGUUAUGUAAGACAGUUGUGAAAUCCCCGGGCUCAACCUGGGAACUGCAUCUGUGACUGCAUAGCUAGAGUACGGUAGAGGGGGAUGGAAUUCCGCGUGUAGCAGUGAAAUGCGUAGAUAUGCGGAGGAACACCGAUGGCGAAGGCAAUCCCCUGGACCUGUACUGACGCUCAUGCACGAAAGCGUGGGGAGCAAACAGGAUUAGAUACCCGCGUAGUCCCUGUCUCUUAUAC